UGGGGAAUUGUUCGCAAUGGGCGCAAGCCUGACGACGCAACGCCGCGUGGAGGAUGAAGGUCUUCGGAUUGUAAACUCCUGUUGCUCGGGACGAAAAGCUUCGACCUAAUACGUCGAAGUCUGACGGUACCGAGUGAGGAAGCCCCGGCUAACUCUGUGCCAGCAGCCGCGGUAAUACAGAGGGGGCAAGCGUUGUUCGGAAUUACUGGGCGUAAAGGGCGCGUAGGCGGCCUGCUAAGUCGAACGUGAAAUCCCUGGGCUCAACCCAGGAACUGCGUCCGAUACUGGUUGGCUUGAAUCCGGGAGAGGGAUGUGGAAUUCCAGGUGUAGCGGUGAAAUGCGUAGAUAUCUGGAGGAACACCGGUGGCGAAGGCGACAUCCUGGACCGGUAUUGACGCUGAGGCGCGAAAGCCAGGGGAGCAAACGGG
This 428-nucleotide ribosomal RNA is filed under the name uncultured bacterium. RNAcentral's name for it is "bacterial SSU rRNA". It matches the Rfam family "Bacterial small subunit ribosomal RNA", at positions 355 to 776 of the family's 1533-position model. The record is from RNAcentral.